UGAUUAAGCCAUGCAAGUCGAGAGGGUUCGGCCCUCGGCGUACUGCUCAGUAACACGUGGAUAACCUGACCUAAGGAAGGGGAUAACUCCGGGAAACUGGGGAUAAUACCCUAUAGGUUACGGGUGCUGGAAUGCCCUGUAACCGAAAGUUCCGACGCCUUAGGAUGGAUCUGCGGCCGAUUAGGUUGUUGUCGGGGUAAUGGCCCAACAAGCCAGUGAUCGGUACGGGUUGUGGGAGCAAGAGCCCGGAGUUGGAUUCUGAGACACGAAUCCAGGCCCUACGGGGCGCAGCAGGCGCGAAAACUUUACAAUGCGGGCAACCGUGAUAAGGGAACCUCGAGUGCCUGUAUAUGCAGGCUGUCCAGGUGUCUAAAACACACCUGAAGAAAGGGCCGGGCAAGACCGGUGCCAGCCGCCGCGGUAAUACCGGCGGCUCGAGUGGUGGCCACUUUUAUUGGGCUUAAAGCGUUCGUAGCUGGGUUGUUAAGUCUCUUGGGAAAUCCGGCAGCUUAACUGUCGGGCGUCUAAGGGAUACUGGUAAUCUUGGAACCGGGAGAGGUGAGGGGUACUUCGGGGGUAGGAGUGAAAUCCUGUAAUCCUCGAGGGACCACCUGUGGCGAAGGCGCCUCACCAGAACGGCUUCGACAGUGAGGGACGAAAGCUGGGGGAGCAAACCGGAUUAGAUACCCGGGUAGUCCCAGCCGUAAACGAUGCGCGUUAGGUGUAUCGGUGACCACGAGUCACCGAGGUGCCGAAGGGAAACCGUGAAACGUGCCGCCUGGGAAGUACGGUCGCAAGGCUGAAACUUAAAGGAAUUGGCGGGGGAGCA
Molecule: ribosomal RNA, 829 nt
Filed under: uncultured archaeon
Lineage: Archaea
Description: bacterial SSU rRNA
Rfam family: Archaeal small subunit ribosomal RNA
Source: RNAcentral